UGCAGUCGAGGGGCAGCGAGAUGUAGUAAUACAUUGUCGGCGACCGGCGCACGGGUGCGUAACGCGUAUGCAACCUACCAUAUACAGGGGAAUAACCUUUCGAAAGGGAGACUAAUACCCCAUAGUAUUACAUUAAGGCAUCUUAUUGUAAUUAAAGAUUUAUUGGUAUAUGAUGGGCAUGCGUGCCAUUAGUUAGUUGGUGAGGUAACGGCUCACCAAGACAACGAUGGCUAGGGGUUCUGAGAGGAAGACCCCCCACACUGGUACUGAGACACGGACCAGACUCCUACGGGAGGCAGCAGUGAGGAAUAUUGGUCAAUGGACGGAAGUCUGAACCAGCCAUGCCGCGUGCAGGAAGACGGCCCUACGGGUUGUAAACUGCUUUUAUGUGAGAAUAACCCUAGUCUUGCGAGAUUAGCUGAAGGUAUCACAUGAAUAAGGAUCGGCUAACUCCGUGCCAGCAGCCGCGGUAAUACGGAGGAUUCGAGCGUUAUCCGGAUUUAUUGGGUUUAAAGGGUGCGUAGGCGGGCUAAUAAGUCAGUGGUGAAAUCACUCAGCUUAACUGAGUAACUGCCAUUGAUACUGUUAGUCUAGAAUAUAAAUGGUGCAGGCGGAAUGAAUCAUGUAGAGGUGACAUUCAUAGAUAUGAUUCAGAACACCGAUCGCGAAGGCAGCUUGCAAAGAUAUUAUUGACGCUGAGGCACGAAAGCGUGGGUAGCGAACAGGAUUAGAUACCCUGGUAGUCCACGCUGUAAACGAUGAUAACUCGUUGUCGGCGAUACACAGUCGGUGACUAAAGGGAAACCGAUCAGUUAUCCACCUGGGGAGUACGAUCGCAAGGUUGAAACUCAAAGGAAUUGACGGG
Molecule: ribosomal RNA, 865 nt
Filed under: uncultured Bacteroidota bacterium
Lineage: Bacteria; Pseudomonadati; Bacteroidota
Description: bacterial SSU rRNA
Rfam family: Bacterial small subunit ribosomal RNA
Source: RNAcentral